GAUGAAGAACGCAGCAAAAUGCGAUAAGUAAUGUGAAUUGGAGAAUUCAGUGAAUCAUCGAAUCUUUGAACGCACAUUGCGCCCGCUGGUAUUCCGGCGGGCAUGCCUGUUCGAGCGUCAUUUCAACCCUCAAGCCCCCGGGUUUGGUGUUGGGGAUCGGCUCUGCCCUUCUGGGCGGUGCCGCCCCCGAAAUACAUUGGCGGUCUCGCUGCAGCCUCCAUUGCGUAGUAGCUAACACCUCGCAACUGGAACGCGGCGCGGCCAUGCCGUAAAACCCCAACUUCUGAAUGUUGACCUCGGAUCAGGUAGGAAUACCCGCUGAACUUAAGCAUAUCAAUAAGCGGAGGA
This 348-nucleotide unclassified non-coding RNA is filed under the name soil metagenome. Its description in RNAcentral is "partial contains 5.8S ribosomal RNA, internal transcribed spacer 2, and large subunit ribosomal RNA". The stretch from base 1 to 120 matches the Rfam family "5.8S ribosomal RNA", at positions 35 to 154 of the family's 154-position model. The record is from RNAcentral.